Molecule: long non-coding RNA, 1569 nt
Organism: Neopsephotus bourkii (Bourke's parrot)
Lineage: Eukaryota; Metazoa; Chordata; Aves; Psittaciformes; Psittacidae
Exons: 2
Source: RefSeq, a predicted model, not a curated record
AUUUCAGGAGCCAAUUAUAGACAUACAUUGUUCUAUUUGUUGUUGUAAUACAGCUUCCAGGAGAGCACAAACCUCACACCCCUUAAAGACAUGCCAACCACCCUGCUGCUACUGCUUUCUGAAGAGGUUGUUUCUGUUGGGGUAAUACCCCUGGGCUCUGCAAGCCCUCCUGUGAUGGUGUUAGUGCUCUUGCUGAAGUAUGCUCAUCUGGAAGCAUGUGUCAAAGAAGCUUGUACAAAUAUCUUUGCCAGUGCUUGGAGGGGGCAGUUAACACUGUCUGGUGUUAGGUACCCACUAAGAGACAGCACAUUCUCUGUGAAUCUUUUGUAGGGGAGAUGCAGAGCUGCAAAGUAGUUAGGCCAUGGCUCUGAAUACUGCACCCACCAUUCACUGCAGGGGAAGCCCAGGGAGUCUUAACUGCCUCCAGCCUUAGAUAUCUAUGUUGAAUACCUGAAGUUAGGUAUGGUAAACCAUGCCAGAAAUAAAAGGCAAUGCUUGGCACCUUUUGCCAGCAUCCAUUUCUCUGUGGUUGUCACUUGAGCCACUGUGGUGGGUGUUCACCCCUUGGCUUAGGUGGGUGCAUGGGUACUGGUGAGUAUUGGGGUGCUGUGGAGAUGCAAUUGUGCUUUCAUGUGGAAUUCAGACCAAGCUGCUCCGUUAAGUGGCUUUCCACACAUCAGACAAGGUACUCCACUCUGUGCUGAACAGUGGUGCUAGAAGAAAUAUAUGCGGUCUGAUGAUGCAGCACAGUGAAGCCUUGGAUCCACCUGCUCUCAGAGGAAAAGAGGGCAUAGGAAAGCAUGUCCGCCUGGGCUGAACUAAGCAGCUUUCUCUGUCCUUGCUUCUCUGUGGAGCCAGGAGUGCAAGUUUUACAACAUCAGGGCAGCAAGAGACUGAGAGAAGGGAAUGGAAAAUGCUGUUGAAAUGAUUGUCAAGGUUGUGAGCCAAGGUCAGGCUGUGUCAAAGAACAGGCAUUUUGAGGAUGUGCCAGAUACAGCUGCAAGAAGUAGCUCUGGAAGACGACCCAGGAUAAGAGACCUGCCCUCUGUAGGAGUGACCCCUGCAACCCUGAGGUCACUGCUGAGCUGAGUGGAAGAGGGAGCACCUAUGUAGGAAUAGGAGUACCUGAGCUGUAACCAGUCCUUGGAGCACCAGUGGCUGGUGUGCAGCUCCUGGAGCAUUCCAGGAGCCAAAGCAAGCGUUUGGGCCAGAGGGUUGCCUUGCUGCAGACCUCGUAAUUCCCAGCAGAAAUAGAGCUGCAAGAGCAGAAGUAUCAUAGCAGUUAGCUUGAGAAGAUGCUAUUGUGUGUAGAGGCAAAGGUGGCUGUUGUGGUUUUAGAUGGUCUUUUUACCAAUGCCAUAGAGACGUUUCCCUUCCCUUUGCCAGGGCUGUGUGGUAGGGUGGCAGCAGCUUAUGUGCUCAUUAUCAGUAUCCCACAGGCUGCAUCACUGCCAGCUUUCCAGUGAGACUGUGAUGAUAGGCUGUACACUGUAUGGGAUGUUGGACUGGCAGUAGUUCAUAGCUGGGGCUUUGCUCUUUUUGUGCUCAAUAAAGGCAAUUUAUAACAUU